RNAcentral lists this unclassified non-coding RNA (250 nucleotides) under fungal sp. RNAcentral's name for it is "partial internal transcribed spacer region". The stretch from base 1 to 46 matches the Rfam family "Eukaryotic small subunit ribosomal RNA", at positions 1786 to 1831 of the family's 1831-position model. The record is from RNAcentral. Lineage: Eukaryota; Fungi.
AAGUCGUAACAAGGUUUCCGUAGGUGAACCUGCGGAAGGAUCAUUAUAGUAUAUGGAAUCUCCAUUCUAUAAACACCAUCUGCGUAUUUUGUACCUGUUGCUUCCAUGGGCCUUGGGCCUAGCGCCCGCAUCGGCCCAACGGCUGGUGAGUGCCCAUGGAAGAAAAACAUAAACCCUCUUUUUUAUGAAUCAAGUCUGAAAUUGUUUAUUAUAAACGUUAAAACUUUCAACAACGGAUCUCUUGGUUCUC